RNAcentral lists this ribosomal RNA (406 nucleotides) under uncultured microorganism. RNAcentral's name for it is "bacterial SSU rRNA". It matches the Rfam family "Bacterial small subunit ribosomal RNA", at positions 509 to 917 of the family's 1533-position model. The record is from RNAcentral.
CAGCCGCCGCGGUAAUACGUAGGUGGCGAGCGUUAUCCGGAAUCAUUGGGCGUAAAGAGGGAGCAGGCGGUGAUACAGGUCUGGAGGUGAAAGCCCGACGCUAAACUUCGGGAAGCCCCGGAAACCGGAUCACUGGAGUGCGGAAGAGGAUCGUGGAAUUCCAUGUGUAGCGGUGAAAUGCGUAGAUAUAUGGAGGAACACCAGUGGCGAAGGCGACGGUCUGGUCCGCAACUGACGCUCAGUCCCGAAAGCGUGGGGAGCAAAUAGGAUUAGAUACCCUAGUAGUCCACGCCGUAAACGAUCGAUACUAAGUGUCGGGAGUCAGAUCCCGGUGCUGCAGUCAACGCAAUAAGUAUCGCGCCUGAGUAGUACGUUCGCAAGAAUGAAACUUAAAGGAAUUGGCGGG